This 497-nucleotide ribosomal RNA is filed under the name uncultured bacterium. Its description in RNAcentral is "partial 16S ribosomal RNA". It matches the Rfam family "Bacterial small subunit ribosomal RNA", at positions 28 to 507 of the family's 1533-position model. The record is from RNAcentral.
GAUGAACGCUGGCGGCGUGCCUAAUACAUGCAAGUCGAGCGAACAGAUGAGGAGCCUGCUCCUCUGACGUUAGCGGCGGACGGGUGAGUAACACGUGGAUAACCUACCUAUAAGACUGGGAUAACUUCGGGAAACCGGAGCUAAUACCGGAUAAUAUAUUGAACCGCAUGGUUCAAUAGUGAAAGACGGUUUUGCUGUCACUUAUAGAUGGAUCCGCGCCGCAUUAGCUAGUUGGUAAGGUAACGGCUUACCAAGGCGACGAUGCGUAGCCGACCUGAGAGGGUGAUCGGCCACACUGGAACUGAGACACGGUCCAGACUCCUACGGGAGGCAGCAGUAGGGACUCUUCCGCAAUGGGCGAAAGCCUGACGGAGCAACGCCGCGUGAGUGAUGAAGGUCUUCGGAUCGUAAAACUCUGUUAUUAGGGAAGAACAAAUGUGUAAGUAACUAUGCACGUCUUGACGGUACCUAAUCAGAAAGCCACGGCUAACUACGUG